ACGGAAGGCAGCAGUGGGGAAUAUUGCACAAUGGGCGCAAGCCUGAUGCAGCGACGCCGCGUGAGCGAAGAAGUAUUUCGGUAUGUAAAGCUCUAUCAGCAGGGAAGAAAAUGACGGUACCUGACUAAGAAGCUCCGGCUAAAUACGUACCAGCAGCCGCGGUAAUACGUAUGGAGCAAGCGUUAUCCGGAUUUACUGGGUGUAAAGGGAGUGUAGGCGGGACUGUAAGUCAGAUGUGAAAUAUACCGGCUCAACCGGUAGACUGCAUUUGAAACUGCGGUUCUUGAGUGAAGUAGAGGUAAGCGGAAUUCCUAGUGUAGCGGUGAAAUGCGUAGAUAUUAGGAGGAACAUCAGUGGCGAAGGCGGCUUACUGGGCUGUAACUGACGCUGAGGCUCGAAAGCGUGGGGAGCAAACAGGAUUAGAUACCCUGGUA
Molecule: ribosomal RNA, 434 nt
Filed under: uncultured Lachnospiraceae bacterium
Lineage: Bacteria; Bacillati; Bacillota; Clostridia; Lachnospirales; Lachnospiraceae
Description: partial 16S ribosomal RNA
Rfam family: Bacterial small subunit ribosomal RNA
Source: RNAcentral